Molecule: transfer RNA, 73 nt
Filed under: Acinetobacter phage AM24
Lineage: Duplodnaviria; Heunggongvirae; Uroviricota; Caudoviricetes
Rfam family: tRNA
About the family: Transfer RNA (tRNA) molecules are approximately 80 nucleotides in length. Their secondary structure includes four short double-helical elements and three loops (D, anti-codon, and T loops). Further hydrogen bonds mediate the characteristic L-shaped molecular structure. tRNAs have two regions of fundamental functional importance: the anti-codon, which is responsible for specific mRNA codon recognition, and the 3' end, to which the tRNAs corresponding amino acid is attached (by aminoacyl-tRNA synthetases). tRNAs cope with the degeneracy of the genetic code in two manners: having more than one tRNA (with a specific anti-codon) for a particular amino acid; and 'wobble' base-pairing, i.e. permitting non-standard base-pairing at the 3rd anti-codon position.
Source: Rfam by way of RNAcentral
GAUUCCUUAGCUCAAUUGGUAGAGCAUUUCCCUUACAAGGAAGAGGUCGUAGGUUCGAAACCUACAGGAAUCA